GUCCACGCUGUAAACGAUGAAGACUAGAUGUUGGGCAGCUUGACUGCUUAGUAUCGAAGCAAACGCGAUAAGUCUUCCGCCUGGGAGUACGGCCGCAAGGUUAAACUCAAAGGAAUUGACGGGGCCCGCACAAGCGGUGGAGCAUGUGGUUAAUUCGAUGCAACGCGAAGAACCUUACCUACCCUUGACAUCCUAAGAAUAUUGCAGAGAUGCGAUUGUGCCGAAAGGAACUUAGAGACAGGUGCUGCAUGGCUGUCGU
RNAcentral lists this ribosomal RNA (259 nucleotides) under uncultured bacterium. RNAcentral describes it as "partial 16S ribosomal RNA". It matches the Rfam family "Bacterial small subunit ribosomal RNA", at positions 793 to 1055 of the family's 1533-position model. The record is from RNAcentral.